Gorilla gorilla gorilla (western lowland gorilla) is the source of this 66-nucleotide microRNA precursor. The record is from Ensembl. Lineage: Eukaryota; Metazoa; Chordata; Mammalia; Primates; Hominidae.
AGGGCUGGGCUGGCAGGGCAAGUGCUGCAGAUCUUUGUCUAAGCAGCCCCUGCCUUGGAUCUCCCA